Molecule: ribosomal RNA, 304 nt
Filed under: uncultured bacterium
Lineage: Bacteria
Description: bacterial SSU rRNA
Rfam family: Bacterial small subunit ribosomal RNA
Source: RNAcentral
GACGAACGCUGGCGGCGUGCUUAACACAUGCAAGUCGAACGGAAAGGCCCUGCUUUUGUGGGGUGCUCGAGUGGCGAACGGGUGAGUAACACGUGAGUAACCUGCCCUUGACUUUGGGAUAACUUCAGGAAACUGGGGCUAAUACCGGAUAGGAGCUCCUGCUGCAUGGUGGGGUGGAAGUUCGGCGGUUGGGAGUGGACUCGCGGCUUAUCAGCUUGUUGGUGGGGUAGUGGCUUACCAAGGCUUUGACGGGUAGCCGGCCUGAGAGGGUGACCGGCCACAUUGGGACUGAGAUACGGCCCAG